Molecule: ribosomal RNA, 557 nt
Filed under: uncultured eukaryote
Lineage: Eukaryota
Description: SSU rRNA
Rfam family: Eukaryotic small subunit ribosomal RNA
Source: RNAcentral
UGGUUGAUCCUGCCAGUAGUCAUAUGCUUGUCUCAAAGAUUAAGCCAUGCAUGUCUAAGUAUAAGCAAUCUAUACGGUGAAACUGCGAAUGGCUCAUUAAAUCAGUUAUCGUUUAUUUGAUAGUACCUUACUACUUGGAUAACCGUGGUAAUUCUAGAGCUAAUACAUGCUAAAAACCCCGACUUCGGAAGGGGUGUAUUUAUUAGAUAAAAAACCAAUGCCCUUCGGGGCUCCUUGGUGAUUCAUAAUAACUAAACGAAUCGCAUGGCCUUGUGCCGGCGAUGGUUCAUUCAAAUUUCUGCCCUAUCAACUUUCGAUGGUAGGAUAGUGGCCUACCAUGGUUUCAACGGGUAACGGGGAAUUAGGGUUCUAUUCCGGAGAGGGAGCCUGAGAAACGGCUACCACAUCCAAGGAAGGCAGCAGGCGCGCAAAUUACCCAAUCCCGACACGGGGAGGUAGUGACAAUAAAUACUGAUACAGGGCUCUUUUGGGUCUUGUAAUUGGAAUGAGUACAAUUUAAAUCCCUUAACGAGGAACAAUUGGAGGGCAAGUCUGGU